CAGCCUUGGUGCUGUGGACACUCCCUGGGGCCCAGCGAAGGGGAGAGUUUGCUCCCAAAGGCACACCAAUGACCAACAUUUGCCCCCCGGAGGAAAGAACUGGAACCAGGGUCAAGGCCAACCUGUCAGAGGUGCUUGUGUCCAGUGUCCUGGGGGUCAACGUGACCAGCGCUGAAGUCUAUGGGGCCUUCACCUGCUCCAUCCAGAACAUCAGCUUCUCCUUCACUCUUCAGAGAGCUGGCCCUACAAGCCACGUGGCUGCGGUGCUGGCCUCCCUCCUGGUCCUGCUGGCCCUGCUGCUGGCCGCCCUGCUCUAUGUCAAGUGCCGUCUCAACGUGCUGCUCUGGUACCAGGACGCGUAUGGGGAGGUGGAGAUGAACGACGGGAAGCUCUACGACGCCUACGUCUCCUACAGCGACUGCCCCGAGGACCGCAAGUUCGUGAACUUCAUCCUAAAGCCGCAGCUGGAGCGGCGUCGGGGCUACAAGCUCUUCCUGGACGACCGCGACCUCCUGCCGCGCGCUGAGCCCUCCGCCGACCUCUUGGUGAACCUGAGCCGCUGCCGACGCCUCAUCGUGGUGCUUUCGGACGCCUUCCUGAGCCGGGCCUGGUGCAGCCACAGCUUCCGGUGGGUCCCGCGCGAGGUUGGGUGGGCCCCAGCUUAGCACCCACCCCCCUGACGGUCCCGCCCCGCAGGGAGGGCCUGUGCCGGCUGCUGGAGCUCACCCGCAGACCCAUCUUCAUCACCUUCGAGAGCCAGAGGCGCGACCCCGCGCACCCGGCGCUCCGCCUGCUGCGCCAGCACCGCCACCUG
This 814-nucleotide small RNA is filed under the name Pan troglodytes (chimpanzee). RNAcentral describes it as "processed transcript". Lineage: Eukaryota; Metazoa; Chordata; Mammalia; Primates; Hominidae. The record is from RNAcentral.